AAAUAAAAAACUGGAAAUGCUUCCCAUAUCUUCAGUAACAUAAUCCUACACAUACAUUACAUAACUUUGUUAUUCUCAAUUUAGUUACCAAUGGCUUCUAGCAGUAAAAGGAUCCUCAGUGGCACAAUCUAGAUCGCUAUUUUGAGAAGUUAUGUUCAGAGCUUACACCACAAAAACAAUUGAAAGAGGAGGCAGAAAUUGUGAUGCAACAACUAAUGACCUUUGUUCAAUAUACAGCUCCAUGUUGUGUGAAGGUAUCUUAUUUGAGAUUCACUGUUGUAGUUUGAGAUUCACUGUCACGCCCUAAGCAAUUCAGCUUGGAAGAAUUUGAGAAUUUCUUGCUCUCUCGCUUCUCCAAGGACGUUAAGGUUCACUCUUUCUGAAUCACAACCAAACCACAGAGGGAAGGUUCUGAAUCUGAACAGUCAAAAGAUCCUUAGAGAGGCUGAAAGUGAUCUUCACCUAUUUUCUUGUCACUACUCAACAGGUAAGAGAUAGUUUUUUGCUUGCUAAACUAAUAUAUCUGUGUUUCCCAUCCCCUUCUGAAGGCAAAGAGUUGACUUGCUUUAGAUGGUUUUCUUCCAAUACCUGACUGGUCAAUGUGCAGGAAAUUUAAAGGUAUUGUGCAAUAUCCAAUUGUUUGCUAAAGCUAUGCUCCAUACUAUCAAGAUUUUUUUCAUAUGCUCUUCAUAUUCCUAUCAGAUAAAGACACUAGAACCAACUAAGCUUUUUUUAUUUUAAGUGUUAGGAACUUGGUUACAAUUUAGUAUUAUAUAAGUAGGUU
Vigna angularis (adzuki bean) is the source of this 784-nucleotide long non-coding RNA. RefSeq lists it as uncharacterized. The transcript has 4 exons. The record is from RefSeq and is a predicted model, not a curated record. Lineage: Eukaryota; Viridiplantae; Streptophyta; Magnoliopsida; Fabales; Fabaceae.